This 534-nucleotide ribosomal RNA is filed under the name uncultured organism. Its description in RNAcentral is "bacterial SSU rRNA". It matches the Rfam family "Bacterial small subunit ribosomal RNA", at positions 806 to 1330 of the family's 1533-position model. The record is from RNAcentral.
ACGAUGAGUGCUAGACGUCGGGUGUAUUAACACAUUCGGUGUCCCAGUUAACGCGCUAAGCACUCCGCCUGGGGAGUACGUCCGCAAGGCUAAAACUCAAAGGAAUUGACGGGGUCCCGCACAAGCGGUGGAGCAUGUGGUUUAAUUCGAUGCAACGCGAAGAACACUUACCUGGGUUGGAACCCCUUGGAAUCCUGCAGAGACGCAGGAGUGCCUUUUUUAAAGGAGCCGAGUGUUCAGUUGCUGCAUGGCUGUCGUCAGCUCGUGUCGUGAGAUUUUGGGUUAAGUCCCGCAACGAGCGCAACCCUUGUCGUUAGUUACUAACAGGUUAAGCUGAGGACUCUAGCGAGACUGCCGGUGGUAAACCGGAGAAAGCUGGGGAUGACGUCAAGUCUUCAUGGCCUUUAUGUCCAGGGCUACACACGGGCUACAAUGGCUGAUACAGAGGGUAGCGAUCCCGCCGAGGGUUACCAAAUCCUUUAAAGUCAGUCCUAGUUCGGAUUGCAGUCUGCAACUCGACUGCAUGAAGCUGGA